This 466-nucleotide ribosomal RNA is filed under the name uncultured bacterium. RNAcentral describes it as "partial 16S ribosomal RNA". It matches the Rfam family "Bacterial small subunit ribosomal RNA", at positions 28 to 506 of the family's 1533-position model. The record is from RNAcentral.
GACGAACGCUGGCGGCGUGCUUAACACAUGCAAGUCGAACGGAAAGGCUCCAGCUUGCUGGAGUACUCGAGUGGCGAACGGGUGAGUAACACGUGGGUAAUCUGCCCUGCACUCUGGGAUAAGCCUGGGAAACUGGGUCUAAUACUGGAUAUGACCUUUCUCCUUAUGGGGUUUGGUGGAAAGUUUUUCGGUGUAGGAUGAGCCCGCGGCCUAUCAGCUUGUUGGUGGGGUGAUGGCCUACCAAGGCGACGACGGGUAGCCGGCCUGAGAGGGUGAUCGGCCACAUUGGGACUGAGAUACGGCCCAGACUCCUACGGGAGGCAGCAGUGGGGAAUAUUGCACAAUGGGCGGAAGCCUGAUGCAGCGACGCCGCGUGAGGGAUGACGGCCUUCGGGUUGUAAACCUCUUUCAGCAGGGACGAAGCGUAAGUGACGGUACCUGCAGAAGAAACACCGGCUAACUAUGU